GUGAGGAAUUUUCCGCAAUGGGCGAAAGCCUGACGGAGCAAUGCCGCGUGAAGGAUGAAGGCCUAUGGGUUGUAAACUUCUUUUCUCAGAAAAGAAUUAUGACGGUAUCUGAGGAAUAAGCAUCGGCUAACUCUGUGCCAGCAGCCGCGGUAAGACAGAGGAUGCAAGCGUUAUCCGGAAUGAUUGGGCGUAAAGCGUCUGUAGGUUGUUUAAAAAGUAUUAUGUCAAAGAUUAGGGCUUAAACCUAGAUAGGCAGAAUAAACUUUUAAGCUAGAGUUUGGUAGAGGCAGAGGGAAUGCCCGGUGGAGCGGUGAAAUGCGUAGAUAUCGGGAGGAACACCAAAGGCGAAGGCACUCUGCUGGGCCAAUACUAACACUGAGAGACGAAAGCGAGGGGAGCAAAUGGGAUUAGAAACCCCUGUAGUCC
This 426-nucleotide ribosomal RNA is filed under the name uncultured bacterium. RNAcentral describes it as "partial 16S ribosomal RNA". It matches the Rfam family "Bacterial small subunit ribosomal RNA", at positions 354 to 796 of the family's 1533-position model. The record is from RNAcentral.